UACGUAGGGUGCAAGCGUUGUCCGGAAUUAUUGGGCGUAAAGAGCUCGUAAGCGGUCUGUCGCGUCGGCUGUGAAAACUCGGGGCUCAACCCCGAGCCUGCAGUCGAUACGGGCAGACUAGAGUGCUGUAGGGGAGACUGGAAUUCCUGGUGUAGCGGUGAAAUGCGCAGAUAUCAGGAGGAACACCGGUGGCGAAGGCGGGUCUCUGGGCAGUAACUGACGCUGAGGAGCGAAAGCGUGGGGAGCGAACGGG
RNAcentral lists this ribosomal RNA (253 nucleotides) under uncultured bacterium. RNAcentral describes it as "partial 16S ribosomal RNA". It matches the Rfam family "Bacterial small subunit ribosomal RNA", at positions 524 to 776 of the family's 1533-position model. The record is from RNAcentral.